CUGCUGCGGCGAGAUGAAGUGGACAUGCGCGUCGAUGCCGCCGGCGGUGAGGAUGAGGUGCUCGCCCGAAAUGGCGUCGGUGCCCGGUCCGAGCGCCAGGCCGCGGGUGACGCCCGGCAUGAUCGCCGGGUUGCCGGCCUUGCCGAUGCCGCAGAUCAGGCCGUUCUUGAUGCCGACGUCGGCCUUGAUGACGCCCUGCACGCCAUCGAGGAUGGUGACGUUGGUGAUGACGAGGUCGGGGGCGCCGGCGGCACUGGUCAGUUCAUUGUCGAAGCCCAUGCCGUCGCGC
This 289-nucleotide small RNA is filed under the name uncultured Aestuariivirga sp. Its description in RNAcentral is "5' ureB small RNA". It matches the Rfam family "5' ureB small RNA". The record is from RNAcentral. Lineage: Bacteria; Pseudomonadati; Pseudomonadota; Alphaproteobacteria; Hyphomicrobiales; Aestuariivirgaceae.